CGCUCCACCCUCUCCUUCCCCUCACAAGCAAUAACAUUCACUAUAUCCUUGGCUAAACAGUGCUGCUCUACACCAAUACGCUCCUUCCGGUCCCUUGGCAGCGUCACAUCUAUGGACUCAAACAUUGCCAAGUAGUAGUCUAGAGUUUCUAUGAACCUUGUAAGGAAAGGGGCUGUGUUUGUGUUUGAUUCUUGCUCCACUAAAGUGACCACCUUGGGAUUGAGUGAUUUGACCAUUCGAAGCAGCCCAUCCCUUGGAUUACUCACAUCAACGCUCUCAUCAGGAGUGUGAUGGAGCUGCAAGGGGAAGUUCACGGCCAGAGCCUCCCCAGGCCUCACAUCAAGCAUGUCCCGUGUGACAUCCGGAGCAAAAACUGGCACACCAUGAAACUC
RNAcentral lists this unclassified non-coding RNA (392 nucleotides) under Hevea brasiliensis (rubber tree). The record is from RNAcentral. Lineage: Eukaryota; Viridiplantae; Streptophyta; Magnoliopsida; Malpighiales; Euphorbiaceae.